This is an RNA transcript of Hordeum vulgare subsp. vulgare (domesticated barley), 1326 nucleotides long. It is a transcript of the gene named protein ADP-ribosyltransferase PARP3-like, with no coding region annotated. NCBI's taxonomy places the organism in Eukaryota, Viridiplantae, Streptophyta, Magnoliopsida, Poales, Poaceae. The transcript has 6 exons. The record is from RefSeq and is a predicted model, not a curated record.
UUGUCCUGCAGGGUGUUGGUAUUUCUUAAAAGGUGAGCUCCUUCCCUAUGGGUUUUCCUUAUGACAACUAAGGAUAUUCUACGAACGGAUUUUCUCAUGCCAAAGUCAUUCAUCAAAGUGGUGGGAAGCUCUCAAAAUGAUUGCUAGAAGCCUAGGUCAUAUUGUGGAAUUAUUACUUUUCGAAGUGAAAUAUGUUAAACUGGUCUUCUUUUUGCUGCAUAUAAUAAUCCUAAAGGAAAUCAACAUGCACUAAUUGUUCAGAUUCCUAAGGUUGCAGGUUCAUUGCCAAUUUUCUUUUACUCCCAGUGUGCUCCCUCCUUCCUACUAGGUCACCCUGAGAUGACGCUACAUACUCCUUUUGUUGUAAUACAACUACCAGUGGUUUCAUAUUCAUGAUUCUUACUUUCUAUAAUAUUGGUUUCCCAAUGGCAGAAUAUGCUUCUGGAGUAAUGUGAAUUGUUGCUUGUGUUACUCAGUGCCUUCAAUGCUUGGUUCAUCACCAAGGGGGUCAUUUGCACAAUUUCAUCUUUGCAGUUUCAGUUGUUGCUGCCCUACAAGAAUUUCAACUGGGAGCGCGGAACUCCUGUAGUGAGUGAGAACUGGAUAGUCGAUAUCAUUCAGAAGAAGGAAGCCCAGCCAUUGGCUGCUUAUGAUAUUGUAUCGGAUGUUGUUCCGGAGGGCAGAGGACUGCCGCUCGACAAGCUUGAUCCAAGCGAGGAGGCCAUCGAGACUUUGGCGGCAGAGCUGAAACUUGCUGGCAAAAGAUCGGUGCACAACGACUCUAAACUGGGCAAAGACGGCGGAUGUAUCUUUGAGAAGGAUGGCAUCAUCUACAAUUGUGUCUGUUCAAUUUGCGACUUAGGAUCCGAGACUAACCAGCUCUGCAUUAUGCAGCUGAUCGUGCUACCUGAAAAACACCUGCACCUUUUCUACAAGAAGGGUCCAAUUGGCCAUGAUCAGAUGGCAGAGGAAUGAGUCGAGGAUUUUGGAAACCGUGUCAAUGAUGUUAUCAAGGAAUUUGCCCGUCUGUUCAAGGAGGUUACUGGAAAUGAUUUCGAGCCAUGGGAGAGAGAAAAGAAGUUUGAGAAGAAGAGUAUGAAGAUGUACCCCUUGGACAUGGAUGUUGGUUUCGAUGUGCGUCAUGGAGGUGCGGCACUUCGUUAGCUGGGUGCUGCAGCAGCACACUGCAAGCUUGACCCUGCCAUUUCUUUUCUUCUAAAGCAAUUGUGCGGCCAAGAAAUAUACAGGUAUGCUUUGACAGAGAUGGCCCAGGAUCUGCCUGACCUUCCUAUUGGGAUGCUUACAGAUGCCCAUUUGAAGAGAGGU